Molecule: ribosomal RNA, 215 nt
Filed under: uncultured Neisseria sp.
Lineage: Bacteria; Pseudomonadati; Pseudomonadota; Betaproteobacteria; Neisseriales; Neisseriaceae
Description: partial 16S ribosomal RNA
Rfam family: Bacterial small subunit ribosomal RNA
Source: RNAcentral
CUAAGGUAACGAUCCUACGGGAGGCAGCAGUGGGGAAUUUUGGACAAUGGGCGCAAGCCUGAUCCAGCCAUGCCGCGUGUCUGAAGAAGGCCUUCGGGUUGUAAAGGACUUUUGUCAGGGAAGAAAAGGCUGUUGCUAAUAUCGACAGCUGAUGACGGUACCUGAAGAAUAAGCACCGGCUAACUACGUGCCAGCAGCCGCGGUAAUAUCACCGG